Molecule: ribosomal RNA, 505 nt
Filed under: Cervidellus vexilliger
Lineage: Eukaryota; Metazoa; Nematoda; Chromadorea; Rhabditida; Cephalobidae
Description: SSU rRNA
Rfam family: Eukaryotic small subunit ribosomal RNA
Source: RNAcentral
CGCGAAUAGCUCAUUACAACAGCUAUAAUUUACUUGAUCUUGACACAAUCCUACUUGGAUAACUGUGGUAAUUCUAGAGCUAAUACAUGCAUUAAAGCUCUGACCUCACGGGAAGAGUGCAUUUAUUAGAACAAAACCAAGCGGCUUCGGCUGUUUCUGGUUGACUCAUAGUAACUGAGCUGAUCGCAUGGUCUUGCACCGGCGACGUGUCUUUCAAGUAUCUGCCGUAUCAACUUUCGAUGGUAGUGUAUCUGACUACCAUGGUGAUCACGCGUAACGGAGAAUAAGGGUUCGGCUCCGGAGAGUUCGCCUGAGAAAUCGCGAACACAUCUAAGGAAGGCAGCGGGCGCGAAAAUUACCCACUCUCAGCACGAGGAGGUAGUGACGAAAAAUAACGAGACCGUUCUCUUAUGAGGCCGGUCAUCGGAAUGGGUACAAUUUAAACCCUUUAACGAGUAUCUAUGAGAGGGCAAGUCUGGUGCCAGCAGCCGCGGUAAUUCCAGCU